GCGUGCCUAACACAUGCAAGUCGAACGGAACUACUAGGAAGGAUCUCUUCGGAGAAACGGAAUUUUAGUUUAGUGGCGGACGGGUGAGUAACGCGUGAGUAACCUGCCUUUGAGAGGGGAAUAACGUUCUGAAAAGAACGCUAAUACCGCAUAACAUAUACUGAUCGCAUGGUCGGUAUAUCAAAGAUUUUAUCGCUCAAAGAUGGACUCGCGUCCGAUUAGCUUGUUGGCGGGGUAACGGCCCACCAAGGCGACGAUCGGUAGCCGGACUGAGAGGUUGAACGGCCACAUUGGGACUGAGACACGGCCCAGACUCCUACGGGAGGCAGCAGUGGGGGAUAUUGCGCAAUGGGGGCAACCCUGACGCAGCAACGCCGCGUGAAGGAUGAAGGUUUUCGGAUUGUAAACUUCUUUUGUCAGGGACGAAAUCUGACGGUACCUGACGAAUAAGCUCCGGCUAACUACGUGCCAGCAGCCGCGGUAAUACGUAGGGAGCAAGCGUUGUCCGGAUUUACUGGGUGUAAAGGGUGCGUAGGCGGCUAAGCAAGUCAGAUGUGAAAUCUAUGGGCUCAACCCAUAAACUGCAUUUGAAACUGCAUAGCUUGAGUGAAGUAGAGGCAGGCGGAAUUCCCCGUGUAGCGGUGAAAUGCGUAGAGAUGGGGAGGAACACCAGUGGCGAAGGCGGCCUGCUGGGCUUUAACUGACGCUGAGGCACGAAAGCGUGGGUAGCAAACAGGAUUAGAUACCCUG
RNAcentral lists this ribosomal RNA (750 nucleotides) under uncultured Bacillota bacterium. RNAcentral describes it as "bacterial SSU rRNA". It matches the Rfam family "Bacterial small subunit ribosomal RNA", at positions 42 to 789 of the family's 1533-position model. Lineage: Bacteria; Bacillati; Bacillota. The record is from RNAcentral.